UCCUAAGCUGUUCACACUUACCCUACGGAA
RNAcentral lists this non-coding RNA (30 nucleotides) under Mus musculus (house mouse). Lineage: Eukaryota; Metazoa; Chordata; Mammalia; Rodentia; Muridae. The record is from RNAcentral.